GGGGGUGUAGCUCAGCUGGGAGAGCGCCACGUUCGCAACGUGGAAGUCAGGGGUUCGAAUCCCCUCAUCUCCACCA
This 76-nucleotide transfer RNA is filed under the name Dissulfurirhabdus thermomarina. RNAcentral describes it as "tRNA-Ala". It matches the Rfam family "tRNA". Rfam says of the family: Transfer RNA (tRNA) molecules are approximately 80 nucleotides in length. Their secondary structure includes four short double-helical elements and three loops (D, anti-codon, and T loops). Further hydrogen bonds mediate the characteristic L-shaped molecular structure. tRNAs have two regions of fundamental functional importance: the anti-codon, which is responsible for specific mRNA codon recognition, and the 3' end, to which the tRNAs corresponding amino acid is attached (by aminoacyl-tRNA synthetases). tRNAs cope with the degeneracy of the genetic code in two manners: having more than one tRNA (with a specific anti-codon) for a particular amino acid; and 'wobble' base-pairing, i.e. permitting non-standard base-pairing at the 3rd anti-codon position. The record is from RNAcentral. RNAcentral also lists the same sequence under 2 other names. Lineage: Bacteria; Pseudomonadati; Thermodesulfobacteriota; Dissulfuribacteria; Dissulfuribacterales; Dissulfuribacteraceae.